Non-coding RNA from Peromyscus leucopus (white-footed mouse), 426 nucleotides. The record is from the annotation of a RefSeq genome assembly. Lineage: Eukaryota; Metazoa; Chordata; Mammalia; Rodentia; Cricetidae.
AUGUUGCCCAGCUGGUCAGCUGUGAGAAGGAAGUCACUGAGACAGCAACAUCUACUGUGCGAAGGAGCCCAGAAGCUCAAUAGAAGCCAUGCAGCAGAAGUCCAUAUCCACACUGUAGACCUGGGUGUCCAUUGUGAGGUGCAGCUGGUUCAGUCUGGUGGAGGAUUGGUGCAGCCUGAGGGGUCAUUGAAACUCUCCUGUGCAGCCUCUGGAUUCACCUUCAGUGACUAUGCCUUGUUCUGGUUCCGCCAGGCUCCAGGGAAGGGACUUGAAUGGGUUGGUAGCAUAGACAUUAAAAGUUACAAUUAUGCGACCUACUAUGCCGAUUCAGUAAAAGACAGAUUCACCAUCUCCAGAGAUGAUUCCCAAAGCAUGGCCUACCUGCAAAUGAACAAUCUUAAAACUGAGGACACAGCCACAUAUUAG